GCCAAGGUAGCCUAGUCUGGUGAGGCGGUGGACUGCAGAUCCACUAUACGUGAGUUCAAAUCUCACCCUUGGCU
RNAcentral lists this transfer RNA (74 nucleotides) under Methanothermobacter tenebrarum. RNAcentral's name for it is "Methanobacteriaceae archaeon RMAS tRNA". It matches the Rfam family "tRNA". Rfam says of the family: Transfer RNA (tRNA) molecules are approximately 80 nucleotides in length. Their secondary structure includes four short double-helical elements and three loops (D, anti-codon, and T loops). RNAcentral also lists the same sequence under 4 other names. The record is from Rfam by way of RNAcentral. Lineage: Archaea; Methanobacteriati; Methanobacteriota; Methanobacteria; Methanobacteriales; Methanobacteriaceae.